UACGUAGGGUGCUAGCGUUGUCCGGAAUUACUGGGCGUAAAGAGCUCGUAGGUGGUUUGUCGCGUCGUCUGUGAAAUCCCGGGGCUUAACCUCGGGCGUGCAGGCGAUACGGGCAUAACUUGAGUGCUGUAGGGGAGACUGGAAUUCCUGGUGUAGCGGUGAAAUGCGCAGAUUUCAGGAGGAACACCAAUGGCGAAGGCAGGUCUCUGGGCAGUAACUGACGCUGAGGAGCGAAAGCAUGGGUAGCGAA
This 250-nucleotide ribosomal RNA is filed under the name uncultured prokaryote. RNAcentral describes it as "partial 16S ribosomal RNA". It matches the Rfam family "Bacterial small subunit ribosomal RNA", at positions 524 to 772 of the family's 1533-position model. The record is from RNAcentral.